This 21-nucleotide ribosomal RNA is filed under the name Cathetus myrtifolius. Its description in RNAcentral is "Phyllanthus myrtifolius partial 26S ribosomal RNA". Lineage: Eukaryota; Viridiplantae; Streptophyta; Magnoliopsida; Malpighiales; Phyllanthaceae. The record is from RNAcentral. RNAcentral also lists the same sequence under 3 other names.
ACGCGACCCCAGGUCAGGCGG